UGUUUGUUUUUUUGAAACAGCAUUUUAUUAUCUGCCUUUUUUAAAUGGAAAUGUUUCCUCUAGCUCUAGGUACGAAUUUUUGUUUCUUGCAACACUUCAAUACAAACAGAAAACUGGCAUUUCCCCCCUUGCCUGUAAUAACCCUUAAACAUGACUGCAGUAUUUAGCUACAAUUUUACAGUUUGUUCUAAUAUUUGCAGCACUGUGGUCUGUUCUGUCUUGGUGGGAGGAUUCUGUGUAAAUCAGGGAGACUAGAAUCUGCCCUAUUCUAAGUUUUUACUAAAACGGUAUCUUUUGAUACUUCGCUAUCAGAACAGCAUGCCUAGUGGAAACUGUUUCUGAGGCACCUAUUGCCUUGAUAUUCAUGGCACUACCCUAAUUCCAGAUGUUCACUGGAAAGGAGGCAACAUUGUGUAACUGCAUCUUUGGAACAAUGUAUGAAAAGAGCCAGAUUAAACGUGUUUUUUCUAUCAAGCUACUUGUUUUCUGCAGUUCUUUAAAGGUUUUCUUAGAUUUUACACAGGAUUUAGUCUAGGUCUUAACUCCCCCAAUCUAGACACACAGUAAUGAAUCACUGCAUAAUGUUUGUUCCCUGUUUUUUCUAUUAGUGUGGGGGCCAAAUUUGUAGUGUCACAAGAAGGUGCAGUUUUUUACAAAAGCUGUAACUAAAAACUAAGUUUUUUUUACCAAUAAUGAAUUGAACUCUUACAUUUACUUCGCAGCUUCCUUGCAGGUCAUGUGCCAUGCCAUGCAAGCUCCCUAGUUCCUGUCAUAUUACCUCCUGGGCUCCUGUCAUAUUAUGUGAGCCCGUACUGGGUGAACUUGCUGCACCAUGGACUCAUCCUAUGUGUAUGACCCUACCCUAAUACCCCCCCCCAACUCACCGACCCCACUACCACAUGCAACCGUCACUGUCCCACUGCACUGCCCCAGUGGGGUCCUGGGUCCCUCUGCCCCACAGGCAGCAUCACUGCCCUGCCCUGCCCCUAUGGGUGGAGAUGGGCAAUAGGUGAUAGAGGAAGGAGGGGCAGCCCAGGAAUUCUGGUGGCAGCAGCA
Gavialis gangeticus (Gharial) is the source of this 1056-nucleotide long non-coding RNA. RefSeq lists it as uncharacterized. Lineage: Eukaryota; Metazoa; Chordata; Crocodylia; Gavialidae. The transcript is spliced from 2 exons. The record is from RefSeq and is a predicted model, not a curated record.